This 501-nucleotide ribosomal RNA is filed under the name uncultured bacterium. RNAcentral's name for it is "partial 16S ribosomal RNA". It matches the Rfam family "Bacterial small subunit ribosomal RNA", at positions 30 to 523 of the family's 1533-position model. The record is from RNAcentral.
AUUGAACACUGGCGGCAGGCUUAACACAUGCAAGUCGAGCGGGGGAAGGUAGCUUGCUACCGGACCUAGCGGCGGACGGGUGAGUAAUGCUUAGGAAUCUGCCUAUUAGUGGGGGACAACAUCUCGAAAGGGAUGCUAAUACCGCAUACGUCCUACGGGAGAAAGCAGGGGAUGUUCGGACCUUGCGCUAAUAGAUGAGCCUAAGUCGGAUUAGCUAGUUGGUGGGGUAAAGACCUACCAAGGCGACGAUCUGUAGCGGGGCUGAGAGGAUGAUCCGACACAAUGGGACUGAGACACGGCCCAGACUCCUACGGGAGGCAGCAGUGGGGAAUAUUGGACAAUGGGGGGAUCCCUGAUCCAGCCAUGCCGCGUGUGUGAAGAAGGCCUUAUGGUUGUAAAGCACUUUAAGCGAGGAGGAGGCUACUCUAGUUAAUACCUAGGGAUAGUGGACGUUACUCGCAGAAUAAGCACCGGCUAACUCUGUGCCAGCCGCCGCCGUAA